CCUCUUUGCCUCUUCGGCCACAUUCUUGUUCAAUUUUAACACCCAUAAUAGUAUCUCUCUACACACAGGUUAGCUGUCCACAAUUUUCAUCCAAUCCGGUUGACAGUAUGUUCUUACAACCGCUAAGCUAAAUCUUUGCUCACGAUCCAAAGUUCAUCAUCUAAUCUCUCAUGCAUACUGUUAUAUCUUACUUUUUUUGAGCAGGGGAGCAAUAGAUGCUUGAACUCUAAUGGCAGAAUUAGUCAGUGCUGCGAUUGUCCAGGAGACAGUUGGCCAAAUCCUAUCUGGUGUGGUUCAAAAAUAUGAGGAGAAAGAGGAAUCAAAUGAGAAAAGAAACUUGGAGAGGCUAGAGAUGGCACACAUCAGGCUGGAGGCUGCUCUUGAGACAUCUAAUAAUUGGAAGAUCACUGAUGCAUCCUUAUUGCGUUGGCGCAAGAAGCUGAAGCGUGCUGCUCAAGAGUGUGAUGACACACUGCACAAAUGCAAGCAGAGAAUCCUAGAAGACGAACAAAUGGAACGGGAGGUAAAGAAUUCCUCCCUCCCUAACCGUAUUGUGCAUGCUACCAAGUCAUUUGCUCUCUCCAUAUUUAAACGCAAUGACAAUGACUUGAGAAGAUCCAUUGCUCAAAGAUUUGAGUGGUAUGCAGAUGGUGCUAGUGAGUUUCUGAGAUUCAUAGAGCUUGGUGGCACACCACGCUGUCACAUGCCCUUUGAAUCUCUUGUCAAAAAUCUUUUUGCAGGCAAGGAACUACAUCAUAAAAUUGUUCGGGGAAAUGAGUAUCCUUUGUUUCAAUUAUGGUUGACUUCCAUCCGUAACCCAGUGCAUGGAAUGGAGGUUAGCCUAGUAUUUAUCCAGUAUGAUGGUACACCAGAGGGUAGUAUCUGCUUUAGUUUGGCCGUACAGCUCUCGGAGAGUAUAGACAUAGUUGGGAUUGCAGUUAAGUGCCUCCAGUUAUUUGCCCCUCAUUUCAAGUGUAAAUUGGAAAAUAUUAGAAAUGAACUUACUCAACUGCCCCAUGAAGACUUCUCAUGGGGGCCCUCUUUUUAUUCGGACCAUAAAGAACAUUGGGACAAACUCAGUAGCUUGUCCUCUCAGUUGAAUCGGCCAAACCCAUUUUGUUGCAAGGAGCAUGGACAGCAUGAGGUUCAACGUUUUAGCAACAUGGACAUGGCAGGAUUAUCAGAUGGUUUGCUAGAACCAGUAAUUCAAUUUACUUUGCAUUGCCACGUCUCACUACCUAUGUACAGAAAACAGAAGACCUCACUGUGUGAAGACCUAAUUUCUCUGCAAGAUUAUCCAUAUCUGAAAGCUGGGAUCGCCUUUUCGCCCCAUGGCUCUUUAGAGAACAUGCUGCCAGCGAAUAGGAGUUCUGAGAUAGUGGCGAUAGUCCACAAGGAGCAACAUUUCUUGCAUACAGACAUUACCCUGGAACAGCUAGAAGAGAUUAUGCUGCCAAAGGCAAUAGAUUACUUCCGCCAGAAUGCCGAUGCAAUGGUUUACCAAAUGCUUUGGAAGUCUAAACAUGGCUUUGCACUUAUUCAGGUUGAGAAGCCAUGCAUGAGCGCAUGGAGAUCAAGCAUGAGAAGACGGACCACUUCUGGGGGAGCUAGGAAAAGAAAGCUAUUUCAAGGAGAUGAUGAGGAGUUCAUUAGGAAUCGGAUACGUCUCUGUCACUGGCUUGACUCAUGGUUUACACAUGUGCCUGUCCGGUUGCAAAAGUCGCUCAUGAAUUGGAUUCGGAAAGAAAAAGAAAUUUUGAUAGCAGCACCACAGUUACACCUAAAAUUCUAAAUCAUUUCAUUAAAGAAGAAGAGGGUACAGAAAAACAAAACCACAACAGCUCUGGGAUCUAGAAGUGCUAUGUUCUACAUUAGGAACCUAUGCAACUGUAGCACAUCACUUGUUCUUGGUUUCAAUUUGUGUGUCUUGUAUGUGUGAUGUUUGGUUCUCACCAAUUGAGUAUACGCUGGGAAUUACUGAAUUACAUGGGAGAUCAGAAUGCAGUGCAUUUGUAAGUGUUGACUUAUAAGUGUAGGGUCAUCACUUGUUCUUAUUUUCCAUGUGACUUUCAAGUGUGUAGCUACUUUCGUUAUGAACUUUUUCAGUAAUUGGGUCGUUUUGCAUCCUUGUGAGCUGAAGUUGCUGCCUGAAUAUGUUUCAGUCCCGGAACAUGUUCUCGGCCUCCUUUUUGUGUAUUGGAUGGAUACGGUUUCCGGUCAGGGGAUUUCACUUUGGUAAAAAAUUAAAGGAAAAGAAAAAAAACUGCUGUUGCCGUUCAAGAAAUGUUUCGGUUGCUCGACCAAAGUCAGUCAAAGAAUGGAUUGCUAGGACAACGUUGACCACGUGCAAACAACUUGUGACAUGCCUCGAUGAAUGGACUCGUGCUGUCCCUAGCACACUUCUUCACGGCCGGGAAACGGGAUGCAUAGAUGAAAUACUGGAGACUAGCAGAAAGGCAGGCUGUCGCCGAUGAGGGUGUCAUGUGAGGGGUGGGUGCAAUCGAGUUCCUUCCUUGUGCAGUGAUGCAUAGAUGGGGAGAUGUUCAGAGCUUUAUAUUUGUUUCAUUCUCUGGUCCUCGUCAGCUAUCCAACUACUCUCUGUAUGAUUUCCCACGUAGAUGUUGACCACGUAAAAUAAUGCCCGUUGGGCAAUUAUAUAUACAACAGAUGACAAGUACUCAAAUGCAAAGUGUCAAAUGCAAAGUGUCAUGUUGCCGUUAAAGUCGACAAUAUAUAAACUGAGGCAACUUUAAGUCGAAGAACAAUCCUACUAUAUAUAUACAUGCACACAUACACACACACAUAUAUUGCCACAUUCUUUUCAUAGCAAUCCCCAUGCCUAACUAAUCAAACUCAUGGCAGGAUUAUCAGAUGUUUUGCUAGAACCAGUAAUUCAAUUUACUUUGCAUUGUCAAGUCUCAUUAUCUGUUUACAGCAAACAGGAGACCUCACUAAAGACCUAAUUUCUAUGCAAUUAUCCAUAUCUGAAAGUUGGAAUCUCCUUUUAUUUGUGCCCCAUGGCUCUUUAGAGGACAUGCUUCCGGCACUCUAUUUUAAUUUCCUGUUUCGUUUGGGAGCAGAAGCGUAGCCUCAUUUCUUCAAUUAAGGUUGCCCCUAAAUUAUCCUUGCUCAAGUUUAGUUCAUUAAUAUAUCAGUGGAACAUGAUAGCCAGCCAGCUAGGUCUUUUAUUUAUAAUGGAUAAAGUCCCGACUUCAACCUCUUCAUAACAGAGGUACCAGUCCACGAUUAUUACAAAAUGUAACCCAAGCUAUUAAACAGUCCAUCACAUACUUAUCAUAGAUAGCACGUAAGAACUUGUUACAACUUAUUAACACAACAUUAUUUUUUGUGAUCCAUAUUGCCCAACAAAACACUAAAGACCCAGAUAACAAAUUUAGUAAUUAGGAUACCACUUCUCGAUCGUUAAGAUUUUUUCACGUGGCACGCCAUGGCCUGUAAGGGCUCUCCUGACUUCCUGUAAAGAGCAGAAGGCAUCAUCAGUAUCAUCAUUGCAUUGAUUUUGCUCGAAGACCACCCAUAUUUCGGACAAGUAGGACAAUGUAUGUACUUUCCAAACAAGAUGACACUAGUAGAGAAUUGACCUUCAAUCCAACCCCUUUAGUCCUGGUUAAUAUUGGAUCCGUGACUAAAGUGACUUUAGUUCCAUGUCAAAAAAGUGCUACAGGGAUAGUCCCGGUUGGCAUUUCCAACCGGGACAAAACCACCAACUGGGAAAAAAGGGGUGGUAUUUUCUCCUAGUUGGAAUUUUCAACCAGGACAAAAUCUCCUCCACUAUAAAAUUACCGGAUCGAGAGCUCUUCUUCCUCCCCCAGCCAGAGCCACUCCACUCCACCAGAGACACUUGGCCUCAGUCACACCUAGUUUUAAAACAAAACCAAGUGCUACCUAUAUGUAUGCCAAGAUCUAGUUACAUACAUAUAGUGACAUCAUUAGUGAAUAAUAAAAACAGUAUCAUGUAAAAAAAAUAUAGAGUCUAUCAGAGAUUUACAGCUUAAUCCUGGUAACGAAGGCUCCAAGCUUCACAGGCAAUCAACCGGGGGUUGUGUACACCUAGAACUCAUCACCAUCUUCACAACAACUUCAUAGCAGCUUCUUCUUCUGAGCAAUGUUAGUUAUAGCAAGGGUGAGCACAUGUCGUACUCAUGAAGUGUGGAGAAAUUAUGUAUGCAAGGCUUAAACAAGGAAAGGCUUACUGGUUUACUAUGAUAAGCAGUUUUAAUUGGUCAAUUUUAUUAGCACCUGAUUACUAAGGUAUAAGUAUAUACCAACCCACAUUUAACAUAAACAUAAGCCAUAACCAUAUAGCACAACCAUAACCACGAUUGAAGUACAUCUUCAAGUAUAUUAAUCAUGUGAGGGUCAAGGCCGCUCUUGACCGUGAGCAUGGCUGAUCAAUCAGUUUUACAUCUCUGCAGAGGUCGCACAACUUUACCCACAAGUUGCAUAAAAGUUCAUAGAACUCUGAACCCAACCAUGCGGUGCUAGCUAGGCACCAUACCAUACUUCCGAGGUGUGAUUGCAUAGGGACGCUAUGAGUCCUUUACAAAGAUUCGUUAGCAUGUGGUAACCCGCUAAGGAUUCAGGUCGAAGCACAGCAUAAACCUCCCUAGUGGGCAUACGGUCUUAGCCAAGCUCCCUUCCCAAGAGGACCGGGUUAUACUCCAUCAACGCCUCCCCUCUCACCCUUUCGGUAAGAUUACCCCACACUAAAGUCUCUAAUUAAUUAGCCAAGACUAGAGCCAUAUAGUUUUUGUGAUUGUACUAUUUUCUUGGGUGGUCACUCCAUGUUCCAAUUAAGCAUUGUGAUCUUGUAUUAGUGAAAGUUAUAGCAUAAAUAAAACAAGUUUUAUCAUUGAGUUCAUUAAAACCACCAUAACCCAAGUAUAGCAGCUAAGCAUAUCUACCUAAAAGAAAGAUAAACCCAGGUUGACAAGGAAUGAUCAUAACAACUAGGCAAACCUUAAUAGGACCCAUCAAAUUAAAUGAAAGCAUAUGCAAUAGUGAUUAAAUAAAUUUAUUGGGACAAGAGCACAAGGACACACUUGCCUUCCUAUAAGUAGUGUUGCUGCUAAGAAUGUCUUCCACUUCUUGCUCUUGAAUAUCCUUGAAGUACGUUCGUUCUACUCACAUCAAUCAUCCAAGACAAACAUCCAGAGCACGCACAUACAAGCAAACAAAAGAACUAAAUUAAAAAUAGUACACCAAUCAUCAUAAACAGCACUGAAAAAUGGUACAAAACUAAUCUACACAUUAACACAAAUGCGUGAGCGAAAGAAUCACUCAAAACCGAGAGCUUGCUGGCAACGAUUAGAAACUUUCAGGGGAUUAACUGCGAAAACCAAGAGCUUAAACGCGUUAAAAACUUUGGAUUGUACUGGAUCGUGACAUUAGAACUUUUCUUGAGGGUUGAAGUGCAAAGCUACCUUAUCUUCUUCAACCUUCCUCCCGUGGCCGAUGGCAGCUCCCGACUGAUGGGGUGAGCUUCGGCUGAUAGUGGCGCGCGGUGGCAACACGGGGUGUAGUGACGGCGAGAUCAGGAGGCAUAGGGCCGGCGGCGCGCUGCACGAGGCAGGGUCGGGUACGACAGGUAGCGCGAGGCACACGAGAGGCAGGCACGGGCGUAGAGCCGGGCGGUGCUAUAGGCGGCGGCCGGUUGCUGCGGCGCUGGAGGGUAGGACGGCGGCGGGCGAGGAAAGAGACGCGAUGAGGUGAGAGUUUUGCCGGCAGAAGAAAACAGUGGCGGCUCAGGCCUUCAUGUGGAGGUGCUCCGUCGGCAGUGGAUCGGCGACUGUGAGGGUGGUGGUGAUGCACGGCGGCUCGGUGGAACCUGUGGCGCCGAUGGUUUGCUCCGGCGAGCGACGAAGCCAGCGAAUCGGGCAAGCUGGCGGCGGCACCCAGCUCGGCCGGUGGAUGAAGGGUGGUGGCACUGCGCGAGGUAAGGUGGCCGCGGGCAGCAGGGGGUCGAGUGCCCGAGGCGACCCCUUUAUAGGGCACGGGGCAUCUGGCGCGCUGGGCGCGGACGCCCAAAUGCGGCGGUGGCAGCGCCACCAAGCCAUGCUCGGCCUGGGCACGAGUAGAGCCGGCUAAUGGGCCUGGCUGGGCCUGCGGAUGGGUCGAUUGGAGCGGGUUGGGCCCACAGGCUCGGCUUGGUAGGAUAGGUUAUAUCAGUUUCAGAAAUAAUUUCUCCUGAUUGAAAAAAUCUAGAAACAUGUAGAUAAUUCCAUAAAGUCACAAAAAAUACUUUGAAAAUCCCAAUAAGUUCCAGGAAUUUGCUAGAGAUAGAUUGAGACACGAGGACUCCAAAUAAAAUACUUGCAACUCGUCAAAAGGAUUCUGGAGCCUUCAAAAAAUUAGAUUUAGCUCUUAGAAAAAGGAGAAUAAAUUUCAGAAAAAAGCUGGAAAAUUCUCAGAAGGGUCUGGACAACGUCUAAAUGCAUAUUAAAACAUUUUUGCACCCAUGAAAAACCAAGAUGCAUCAGCAUGAAUGAACAGACACAGAACAACAUUAUUAAAUUCUGAAAACAAACAAUUAUUUUUCCUACACUAAAUUUCCUGUAAAGAAAAAUAAAUGUUGGGAAAAUUUUAAAAAUUAUAAGAAAAUCAUUGUUUAUUUAUUUCUUUUAAUCACAUCCUGAAAUUCAAAAAUUUCAGGGUGUGACAAUUAUGCUGCCAAAGGCAAUAGAUUACUUCCACCAGAAUGUCGAAGCAAUGGUUUAUCAAAUGCUUUGGAAGUCUAAACAUGGCUUUGCACGUAUUCAGGUUGAGAAGCCAUGCAUGAGCGCAUGGAGAUCAAGUAUGAGAAGACAGAGCACUUCUGGGGGAGCUAGGAAAAGAAAGCUGUUUCAAGGAGACGAUGAGGAGCUCAUUAGGAGUCGGAUACAUCUCUAUCACUAGCUUGACUCAUGGUUUUCACAUGUGCAUGUCCGGUUGCAAAGGUGGCUCAUGAAUUGAAUUCGGAAAGAAAAGGAAAUUUUGAUAGCAGCACCACAGUUACACCUGAAAUUCUAAAUCAUUUCAUUAAAGAAGAAGAGGAUAAAGAAAAACAAAACCGCAACAGCUCUGGGAUCGAGAAGUGCUAUGUUCCACAUUAGGAACCUAUGCAACUGUAGCAC
RNAcentral lists this long non-coding RNA (7133 nucleotides) under Setaria italica (foxtail millet). RNAcentral describes it as "long non-coding RNA (SITA_LNC007158)". Lineage: Eukaryota; Viridiplantae; Streptophyta; Magnoliopsida; Poales; Poaceae. The record is from RNAcentral.